RNAcentral lists this ribosomal RNA (291 nucleotides) under uncultured Glomus. RNAcentral describes it as "partial small subunit ribosomal RNA". It matches the Rfam family "Eukaryotic small subunit ribosomal RNA", at positions 569 to 864 of the family's 1831-position model. Lineage: Eukaryota; Fungi; Glomeromycota; Glomeromycetes; Glomerales; Glomeraceae. The record is from RNAcentral.
AGCAGCCGCGGUAAUUCCAGCUCCAAUAGCGUAUAUUAAAGUUGUUGCAGUUAAAAAGCUCGUAGUUGAACUUCGGGACCGGUAAGUUGGUCGUGCCUUAGGUACGUACUGGCUUUAUUGGUUCCUCUCUUCUGACGAACCAUGAUGUCAUUAAUUUGAUGUUAUGGGGAAUCAGGACUGUUACUUUGAAAAAAUUAGAGUGUUUAAAGCAGGCUAAAGCUUGAAUAGAUUAGCAUGGAAUAAUGAAAUAGGACGUUUGAUCUUAUUUUGUUGGUUUCUAGGAUCGACGUA